Molecule: ribosomal RNA, 566 nt
Filed under: uncultured bacterium
Lineage: Bacteria
Description: bacterial SSU rRNA
Rfam family: Bacterial small subunit ribosomal RNA
Source: RNAcentral
UGACGGGACCCGCACAAGCGGUGGAUGAUGUGGUUUAAUUCGAUGCAACGCGAAAAACCUUACCUACCCUUGACAUGGCAGGAAUCUCGCAGAGAUGUGAGAGUGCUCGAAAGAGAACCUGCACACAGGUGCUGCAUGGCCGUCGUCAGCUCGUGUCGUGAGAUGUUGGGUUAAGUCCCGCAACGAGCGCAACCCUUGUCAUUAGUUGCUACGAAAGGGCACUCUAAUGAGACUGCCGGUGACAAACCGGAGGAAGGUGGGGAUGACGUCAGGUCCUCAUGGCCCUUAUGGGUAGGGCUACACACGUCAUACAAUGGCCGGUACAGAGGGCUGCCAACCCGCGAGGGGGAGCCAAUCCCAGAAAACCGGUCGUAGUCCGGAUCGCAGUCUGCAACUCGACUGCGUGAAGUCGGAAUCGCUAGUAAUCGCGGAUCAGCUUGCCGCGGUGAAUACGUUCCCGGGUCUUGUACACACCGCCCGUCACACCAUGGGAGCGGGUUCUGCCAGAAGUAGUUAGCCUAACCGCAAGGAGGGCGAUUACCACGGCAGGGUUCGUGACUGGGGUG